GUGUUUCACCUAAACACGGAGGUUACGCACCCAGAAGUCCGGUCGUCUUACUAGUUGGUAUACGAGGCCGCCUUCGAUCGGUUUUCCGCGGAUCGUGUCCAUUUCGCAACAGCUGGCCUUGUUGGGGACUGGAACUGACGUUGCCGUUGUUGAGUAGCUCUUGCGGUAUGUUUCGUCUACUACCAUUUUGCUGGACUGUUUUUCCGUUCCCGUAUAGAUCCCCCACUUACUAGACGCACGCCUUCUUCUUAGUACACUUAUUAUAGUCAAACAGGAUCAAUAGACAGUUCAUGCUAUAAGGCACCAGGUUGUUUGGAGAUAUGGAUGUACACCUAACAUAUCGAACACUUUCACCAGGACAUCUGUUCAUCAUAAAGUAAGCAAGUACGUACAAGAAGCAAAUAUAGAU
Molecule: ribosomal RNA, 409 nt
Filed under: Triticum aestivum (bread wheat)
Lineage: Eukaryota; Viridiplantae; Streptophyta; Magnoliopsida; Poales; Poaceae
Description: partial small subunit ribosomal RNA
Source: RNAcentral